GCAGUCUCCUGUCCACUCAUGAAAAUAUCUUUUUUUUUCUUUCAGGAUUUUAAUUUGCCUUCCUUCAACACAACAGUGAAGAACGAGCGUACCAGCAUUUCUUCAGGACACACCUGUGCGCCAUGGCGGAGGAGCCCAUCUUGAGGAAGGCAGGUUUUGCACACAGGUGGUGAUUGGGAGGCCUCAACAGGCUCCUGACCAACCAAAUAAAGGCUGGUGGAAAGACAAAGCCUGUGCAUUGGGAGGUGGGGGCUGGAAUGGGGAAGGAGACACUUUAGACAAGGUUAUUAGCAGAUGUUGUUUAAAUGUUCUGAAUGCCAAACUGUAAUAAGAAAGAU
Molecule: long non-coding RNA, 338 nt
Filed under: Ictidomys tridecemlineatus (thirteen-lined ground squirrel)
Lineage: Eukaryota; Metazoa; Chordata; Mammalia; Rodentia; Sciuridae
Description: lncRNA (ENSSTOG00000033623.1)
Source: RNAcentral